This 497-nucleotide ribosomal RNA is filed under the name uncultured bacterium. RNAcentral's name for it is "partial 16S ribosomal RNA". It matches the Rfam family "Bacterial small subunit ribosomal RNA", at positions 28 to 507 of the family's 1533-position model. The record is from RNAcentral.
GAUGAACGCUGGCGGCGUGCCUAAUACAUGCAAGUCGAGCGAACAGACGAGGAGCUUGCUCCUCUGACGUUAGCGGCGGACGGGUGAGUAACACGUGGAUAACCUACCUAUAAGACUGGGAUAACUUCGGGAAACCGGAGCUAAUACCGGAUAAUAUAUUGAACCGCAUUGUUCAAUAGUGAAAGACGGUUUUGCUGUCACUUAUAGAUGGAUCCGCGCCGCAUUAGCUAGUUGGUAAGGUAACGGCUUACCAAGGCGACGAUGCGUAGCCGACCUGAGAGGGUGAUCGGCCACACUGGAACUGAGACACGGUCCAGACUCCUACGGGAGGCAGCAGUAGGGAAUCUUCCGCAAUGGGCGAAAGCCUGACGGAGCAACGCCGCGUGAGUGAUGAAGGUCUUCGGAUCGUAAAACUCUGUCAUUAGGGAAGAACAAAUGUGUAAGUAACUAUGCACGUCUUGACGGUACCUAAUCAGAAAGCCACGGCUAACUACGUG